RNAcentral lists this ribosomal RNA (258 nucleotides) under Triticum aestivum (bread wheat). RNAcentral describes it as "partial small subunit ribosomal RNA". The record is from RNAcentral. Lineage: Eukaryota; Viridiplantae; Streptophyta; Magnoliopsida; Poales; Poaceae.
AUGCCACCCGACCGCGAGCUUGAGUUUGCAAUAGAUCUUGUGCCCGGAACCGCACCGUUAUACAAGAAGUAUUACCGGAUGCCCUCAUCAAAAUUAGUGGAGAUAAAGAAACAGCUUGAUGAAAUGCUCCAGAAAGGAUAUAUCUGUCCCAGCUCUUCACCAUGGGGAUCACCUGCUAUUUUCGUGGACAAAAAGGAUGGCAGCCUCCGCAUGUGUGUGGAUUACCGUCAGCUAAACGAUGUCACCAUCAAAAAAUAA